This 229-nucleotide ribosomal RNA is filed under the name uncultured bacterium. Its description in RNAcentral is "partial 16S ribosomal RNA". It matches the Rfam family "Bacterial small subunit ribosomal RNA", at positions 568 to 796 of the family's 1533-position model. The record is from RNAcentral.
UGCGUAGGCGGACUAAUAAGUCAGUGGUGAAAUCUCUCGGCUCAACCGGGAAACUGCCAUUGAUACUGUUAGUCUUGAGUUCGGUUGAGGUAGGCGGAAUGUGUAAUGUAGCGGUGAAAUGCUUAGAUAUUACACAGAACACCAAUUGCGUAGGCAGCUUACUAGACCGACACUGACGCUGAGGCACGAAAGCGUGGGUAGCGAACAGGAUUAGAUAACCUGGUAGUCC